RNAcentral lists this transfer RNA (75 nucleotides) under Gammaproteobacteria bacterium AqS3. RNAcentral describes it as "tRNA-Lys". It matches the Rfam family "tRNA". Rfam says of the family: Transfer RNA (tRNA) molecules are approximately 80 nucleotides in length. Their secondary structure includes four short double-helical elements and three loops (D, anti-codon, and T loops). Lineage: Bacteria; Pseudomonadati; Pseudomonadota; Gammaproteobacteria. The record is from RNAcentral.
GGGUCGCUAGCACAAUGGUAGUGCAUCCGACUUUUAAUCGGAAGGUUGUUGGUUCGAGCCCAACGCGGCCCACCA